GCAGUGGGGAAUAUUGGACAAUGGGGGGAACCCUGAUCCAGCCAUGCCGCGUGUGUGAAGAAGGCCUUUUGGUUGUAAAGCACUUUAAGCGAGGAGGAGGCGCUCUAGGAUAAUACCCUAGAUGCGUGGACGUUACUCGCAGAAUAAGCACCGGCUAACUCUGUGCCAGCAGCCGCGGUAAUACAGAGGGUGCGAGCGUUAAUCGGAUUUACUGGGCGUAAAGCGCGCGUAGGUGGCUAAUUAAGUCAAAUGUGAAAUCCCCGAGCUUAACUUGGGAAUUGCAUUCGAUACUGGUUAGCUAGAGUAUGGGAGAGGAUGGUAGAAUUCCAGGUGUAGCGGUGAAAUGCGUAGAGAUCUGGAGGAAUACCGAUGGCGAAGGCAGCCAUCUGGCCUAAUACUGACACUGAGGUGCGAAAGCAUGGGGAGCAAACAGGAUUAGAUACCCUGGUAGUCCAUGCCGUAAACGAUGUCUACUAGCCGUUGGGGCCUUUGAGGCUUUAGUGGCGCAGCUAACGCGAUAAGUAGACCGCCUGGGGAGUACGGUCGCAAGACUAAAACUCAAAUGAAUUGACGGGGGCCCGCACAAGCGGUGGAGCAUGUGGUUUAAUUCGAUGCAACGCGAAGAACCUUACCUGGCCUUGACAUACAGAGAACUUUCCAGAGAUGGAUUGGUGCCUUCGGGAACUCUGAUACAGGUGCUGCAUGGCUGUCGUCAGCUCGUGUCGUGAGAUGUUGGGUUAANCCCAUGCAACGUAGCGCAACCCUUUUCCUUACUUGCCAAAUUUCGGAUGGGAACUUUAAGGAUACUGCCAGUGACAAACUGGAGGAAGGUGGGGAUGACGUCAAGUCCUCAU
Molecule: ribosomal RNA, 854 nt
Filed under: Acinetobacter sp. ND7
Lineage: Bacteria; Pseudomonadati; Pseudomonadota; Gammaproteobacteria; Moraxellales; Moraxellaceae
Description: bacterial SSU rRNA
Rfam family: Bacterial small subunit ribosomal RNA
Source: RNAcentral